This 253-nucleotide ribosomal RNA is filed under the name uncultured bacterium. Its description in RNAcentral is "partial 16S ribosomal RNA". It matches the Rfam family "Bacterial small subunit ribosomal RNA", at positions 524 to 776 of the family's 1533-position model. The record is from RNAcentral.
UACGUAGGGGGCGAGCGUUGUCCGGAGUGACUGGGCGUAAAGAGCACGUAGGCGGUUUGAUAUGUCUGAUGUGAAACACCUGGGCUUAACUCAGGUUCUGCAUCGGAAACUGUCAGACUUGAGUACAGGAGAGGAAAGCGGAAUUCCCAGUGUAGCGGUGAAAUGCGUAGAUAUUGGGAGGAACACCAGUGGCGAAGGCGGCUUUCUGGACUGGAACUGACGCUGAGGUGCGAGAGCUAGGGGAGCGAACAGG